AUGGACACUACCAAAACUGCACCAGGAGUUAUUCAACAGUGCACCUGGACCUCAUGCAGAAGAGAAUGGAAAAUUCAUAGGAUCAGCAACAGGACAUGCUUCGAUAGAGCACAAUCAUACAGCCUGGAAGAAAUUAAUUGUGCCACUUAUAAAAGGCCAAAGAAGAGAUUAAUAAAAAAAAAAUCCAUUGAUUACAAAAGGUCUAAAUUGCAAUCUCUCAAAGUGUUAAAUCAUUAUUCUCUAUCAGAGGCUGCAACUGCCUGCCUUCUGCUGUGAAGAGCACCAGGUUCAAUUUGCACACCUUUUGGAUUUAAAAUGGUAUUUACAAGGAUUAAGUUCUCAAAACCCAAAUAAUUUCACUGUAAUUUCUGAAUCAGCACAGUCCCAUUAACCCAGCAGGAGGAACUGGGCGGCAAAAUACAUAUUCUCUGUCAAGUAAUACAGCAAAGUCAGGAGAAAAUGUCCUGCCUCACAUAUGGUAUAGCUCAACCCACAGAAUUUUCUGAGACCUGAGCAAAUUAGCUAAUAGUAAUUUAAUUAUAAACACAGUAUUUUUAACAUAUGAAAUGAAAAUCAGGAAGAAAUAAUAUGUUUAUUAAUACAGAUUUUAUAUUUUAAAAAAAAAUUGGUUUUUUUGGAGGUCAAGUCCGCCUUCAGGUCUGAAACCAAACCCUUUUCACUGAUUACAGAGUAGCAGUUCUGAAGAAAUGUUCUUACCUUGCACCACUUCCUAUACAGCAAAAAUGGAAAAAAAGUUUUUCCUCUUUCUCAGUUCUCAUUAUUUAAGAGAAAAAAAAAACCAAACCAAGAAUCAAUUACACACGAGGAUGAAUAAUGCAUAAACAGCCAAUGAACCUAAAAGAAAAUCAUACAGUACUUCAGCACUUAGAAGCAGAAGAACCCCAGCAGUUACAGGCUUGUGCACCUUCCCUGCAUCUCAUAGCUGCCAUUUUCUGUCAUCUGCCUCACUCCUUCUCACUGAACCUUAGGAGCCCUUGGGUUUUCUUUCAGUAUCAUUUCUUCUUCCAAAUGGUUCUCUACAAUUUGCUUUAUGUAUCCCAGUAAUCUUUCCUUCUCAUCCUUUGAAUCCACCAUGAUAUACUGCACAUUAACAUAAAGUUUUCCUGUAUUUCAACAAUUUUUUUCUCAUUUUUUAUUUAUGCUUCUAUAACUGUCUGGGUUUUUUUCCACCUUAGACAAUACCUAUUUCAUGCCAUAAUGGAAAGGCUGAGAUAUAGAAGUUCCUUGGUGACUUUUAGAGGUAUUUUACAAGUGCACAGAAAUUAAAUAAAAUUGCUUUUAGGUAUAGAACUUUUCUUUCC
This 1322-nucleotide long non-coding RNA is filed under the name Cyanistes caeruleus (blue tit). RNAcentral's name for it is "lncRNA (ENSCCEG00000006477.1)". The record is from RNAcentral. Lineage: Eukaryota; Metazoa; Chordata; Aves; Passeriformes; Paridae.